This 581-nucleotide long non-coding RNA is filed under the name Gallus gallus (chicken). RNAcentral describes it as "lncRNA (ENSGALG00010019689.1)". The record is from RNAcentral. Lineage: Eukaryota; Metazoa; Chordata; Aves; Galliformes; Phasianidae.
CUGAGAUUUAUACUGGAAAAUUGGAACUAUACAUGGGGAAAAAAACAACACGAGUACUGGUAUGUCAACAGUGGGUUGGUGCUGAGGUGCUUACAUGGCCCUGAGUAUGAUCCCACAGGGCUCCUGACAGGGCAUCGCUUCAGAAGUGAAUGCAGUGACCCAUAAGGCAUGAGGUCCGCAUGGUGACUGCACUACCUUGUUGUCUUCCAGGAUUUAAACACAAUUAUUACUCCCAAGGAUGCUGGGAAGGUACCAUGCGACGUUGGCUUUUUUCACUUGGAUGAAGUGUUGCCCAGUGGGUUGAGCAGAGGUGUUCAGCAUCAACCUGUCCUUCCUGAUGGGCUGUCUCAGGGCCUCUGGAGGUGGCAGUUCCCUGCUGGGUGUGAUGGAGAGGAAUAUUGGUGCAAUGGGAGAAUAAUGGCUGUUGCAAGACUGUGGUACCAUUAACGAGCUCCUUGGAGGAAGGGCCCUACAGAAGUGCAAAUCAUCUUACUUGCUAUUAAUUACCGAUGUAUUUAUUCAUUGCAAUAUGCAGGGCAGGUAUAGCAGGUUAUCUGCUCAGCUGGUCUGUAAGAGGGUGG